This 424-nucleotide ribosomal RNA is filed under the name Physarum cinereum. RNAcentral describes it as "partial small subunit ribosomal RNA". It matches the Rfam family "Bacterial small subunit ribosomal RNA", at positions 558 to 930 of the family's 1533-position model. The record is from RNAcentral. Lineage: Eukaryota; Evosea; Eumycetozoa; Physariida; Physaraceae.
GCGUAGGGUACGUAGGCGGAUAUUUAAAAAUAUAGUAAAAGACUGAGGUAAACCCUCUUUAUUCUAUAUUCACUGAAUAUCUGAGUUUUGAAGGUGGUUUAUUGAAUUCUUGAAGAAAGGGUGAAAUUGUUGAUAUUGGAAGACAUUCGAUAGCGAAAGCAUUAACCAAUUCUGAUCUGACGCUAGGUACUAAAGUAUGGGGAUAAAUAGGAUUAGAGACCUAGUAGUCCAUACCUUAAACAAUGAGUGUUCAACGUCUUUUGAUAGGUGCGGUUCUAGCCUGCACAAUUUUUUGUGCAGUAUUUAUUUAUUAGCUAAGAGCUUGUACGUAUUUUUGGGGGUUUAAAGCUAACGCGUGAAACACCGCCUGGGGAAUGUGGCCGCAAGGUUAAACUCAAAGGAAUUGACGGAGACUUAUACAAGG